This 536-nucleotide long non-coding RNA is filed under the name Phoenix dactylifera (date palm). RNAcentral's name for it is "long non-coding RNA (PDAC_LNC022218)". Lineage: Eukaryota; Viridiplantae; Streptophyta; Magnoliopsida; Arecales; Arecaceae. The record is from RNAcentral.
CGAGAAGAUGAUGUUGGAUGGGAAUGUCAUUAGGUUUGGUUACUAGAGAUGGAAAAUUAGAUCCGAACUUAUUGUUCCAUGUCUGUUUUACUAUGGUUCGUCUUCCCCCUUUUUUCUUUUCUAGUUCUAGUAAGUUCAUCGAAUCUUAGUGUUUUAGGGGUUUUCCUCGCAUCGAUGCAUUCCACUUCUGUUUGAUUCUUUUCUCCUUCUAGUUUCCUGUAGUAAUUUCUCUUUCUUGCUUGAUUUUAUAUAAAAAUUUGAUUGUUAGCAUUUUUUAAACUAUUGCCUUGAUACGUCUUCUGAGAUUUCCCCUGAUCCCCGGGUUCCUUUCUCCAUGGAAGAGUUCUGGCUUAAUCCUUUUUUUUCUUGGAUGAUUUCAUCUUAAAACCGAAUUUCUUGAACAGAAAUGUUGGCAACCCCAUGAAUCUUUAGCAAGAAAAGUUUUGAAAUAAUUAAUUUAAUGCCCCACCUCCUGGUUCUUUAAAGCUGUGUCAAUCUGGUGUCUCUAUUAUAAUUCUUUUAUCAUGCUACCAGGU